Molecule: ribosomal RNA, 1511 nt
Filed under: metagenome
Description: bacterial SSU rRNA
Rfam family: Bacterial small subunit ribosomal RNA
Source: RNAcentral
AGAGUUUGAUCCUGGCUCAGGACUAACGUUGGCGGCGUGCGUAAUACAUGCAAGUCACACGGGAUUGGGGCAACUCAAUUCAGUGGCGAACGGGUGAGUAACACGUGGAUGAUCUACCCUUAAGAUCGGGAUAACUAGCCGAAAGGUUAGCUAAUACCGGGUAUGACCACGGUCUGUAUCGUCAGAUCGAGGUAAGAGCUGGGGACCGCAAGGCCUAGCGCUUAAGGAUGAGUCCGCGGCUGAUCAGCUAGUUGGCGGGGUAAUGGCCCACCAAGGCGACGAUCAGUAGCCGGCCUGAGAGGGUGACCGGCCACACUGGAACUGAGACACGGCCCAGACUCCUACGGGAGGCAGCAGUAGGGAAUUUUCCACAGUGGGCGAAAGCCUGAUGGAGCAACGCCGCGUGAGGGAUGAAGGUUUUCGGAUCGUAAACCUCUUUGGAGCGGGAAGAACGGCGCUUGGGCGAAUAGUCCAGGCGCGUGACGGUACCGCUAGAACAAGACACGGCUAACUCUGUGCCAGCAGCCGCGGUAAUACAGAGGUGUCAAACGUUGUCCGGAAUUAUUGGGCGUAAAGGGCGCGUAGGCGGCCGGGUAAGUGAGAUGUGAAAGCUCUGGGCUCAACCCAGGAAUUGCAUUUCAUACUGCUCGGCUAGAGAUUGGUAGAGGAUGGCGGAAUUCCAGGUGUAGCGGUGAAAUGCGUAGAUAUCUGGAGGAACACCUGUGGCGAAGGCGGCUAUCUGGUCCAAUUCUGACGCUGAGGCGCGAAAGGUAGGGGAGCAAACAGGAUUAGAUACCCUGGUAGUCCUACCCGUAAACGAUGAGUACUAGGUGUUGGAGGUAUUGACCCCUUCAGUGCCGUAGCUAACGCAAUAAGUACUCCGCCUGGGAACUACGGUCGCAAGACUGAAACUCAAAGGAAUUGACGGGGGCCCGCACAAGCGGUGGAGCAUGUUGUUUAAUUCGAUGCAACGCGAAAAACCUUACCUAGGCUUGACAUGUAGUGACAUCCGGAUGAAAGUUCGGCUUCCCGCAAGGGACACUAACACAGGUGCUGCAUGGCUGUCGUCAGCUCGUGUCGUGAGAUGUUGGGUUAAGUCCCGCAACGAGCGCAACCCCUAUCUCUAGUUGCCAUCAGUUCGGCUGGGAACUCUAGAGAAACUGCCCACGACAAGUGGGAGGAAGGCGGGGAUGACGUCAAGUCCUCAUGGCCCUUAUGUCUAGGGCUACAAACGUGCUACAAUGGCAGAUACAGAGGGUCGCAAGAGCGCGAGCUGGAGCUAAUCCUUAAAGUCUGUCCCAGUUCGGAUCGAAGGCUGCAACUCGCCUUCGUGAAGCCGGAAUCGCUAGUAAUCGCGGAUCAGCAUGCCGCGGUGAAUACGUUCCCGGGCCUUGUACACACCGCCCGUCACGCCACGAAAGUUUGUUGUACCAGAAGACGGUGGGCUAUCCCGCAAGGGAGGCAGCCGGCUAUGGUAUGGCAGAUGAUUGGGGCGAAGUCGUAACAAGGUA